This 253-nucleotide ribosomal RNA is filed under the name uncultured bacterium. RNAcentral's name for it is "partial 16S ribosomal RNA". It matches the Rfam family "Bacterial small subunit ribosomal RNA", at positions 524 to 776 of the family's 1533-position model. The record is from RNAcentral.
UACGGAGGGAGCUAGCGUUAUUCGGAAUUACUGGGCGUAAAGCGCACGUAGGCGGCUUAGUAAGUUAGAGGUGAAAGCCUGGAGCUCAACUCCAGAACUGCCUUUAAGACUGCUUCGCUUGAAUCCAGGAGAGGUGAGUGGAAUUCCGAGUGUAGAGGUGAAAUUCGUAGAUAUUCGGAAGAACACCAGUGGCGAAGGCGGCUCACUGGACUGGUAUUGACGCUGAGGUGCGAAAGCGUGGGGAGCAAACAGG